Molecule: long non-coding RNA, 3284 nt
Organism: Anguilla rostrata (American eel)
Lineage: Eukaryota; Metazoa; Chordata; Actinopteri; Anguilliformes; Anguillidae
Exons: 2
Source: RefSeq, a predicted model, not a curated record
UUCUCUCCUGUGUCUCUUCUUUCCCCUUCCCUAUUGAGGGUAAGGCCUGGUCUUUGUCCUGAUGAGGAGGCGUCUUGCGACGUCCCCGGCGCACCAGACGGGCCUCUAUCUGUGAAGUGUAAUUGGGAUCCGCCCUCUUUUCUCAGGGCUGAAUGAAGCCGUCUCCACGGGAACGCUCUGAGUCUGUGCAUAAAUGGAUGAGCAGUGAAAGUCACACAGGAAAAGACCGUGAGCUCAGAAAAUAAAUCAAGAAAGAAUUUUUUCCUCCCUCGUUGAAGUCGCCGCACUGGUUGUUUUUUGGAGAUUGCCCCUUUUUUCCCCCCGGUGGCUGAUUUGUGUAACUGCACCUAGGGACACCACAGCAUCCAGCUCAAGUUCACCAGGCGGGCAUUGGAAGCACAGCUGCUUUCAGAUGCAGCGUCAUCACGCAUAUCUCUCAGGACAGUCCUCCUGUCUUUGAUAGCUGUGACCCAUUAUUAACAGGGGGAAGCAACAGGCGUCGGCUCUGGGCUACUGAGACUGAAUCAGUACUGCACAUCUCUCGCUCUCUCUGUCUCUCUCUAUCUCUGUUUCUUUCUCUCUCUCUGAUGAUUGAAUUGAAAAUUGAAAAUGUUUAUUUGAAAAUUGACAUGUUAAUGUCGUCUUCAAGUUCUAUUGUGGGAGAUUAGCUAAUGUUGAACAUUAACAUUUAAUAAGAUUUCCUUCAGGCAGUUUGAUUUGUGCUUUGCAACGGAAUAUGUUCAACGCAGCAGCCAAAUAAAGUUGAGGUACAUCUGCGGAUUUAUAAAGCGGGGACUUCCUGAACACCUCGUGUACAGUCGGUCUAAGCCAUGGGCUUAAAAAAAAGUUAAAUCAGUGACAGGUGAAGCUCCACUUAUUGCACAGGUGUGUGUAAUUCCUCCACCUGUCCACAGGUGUGGGUGUGUGAUUGUUUUUCCUCUCUCUGGUGAGGCCAGGUAUGUGUAGACAGACUCCCGCAGCCCUCCCCCCCCCCCCCCUCCGUGGGGAACACCCCCUCAGCAGUGCUGCUGCUGCCUGCUCUUGUCUCCCUUCAGAGUGCAGUUUUAAUGGGUCACCCAGACAUUAACUCCCAUCUGCCUGGGGAAUGAGCUAACAGCUUAGCUCAGAGAGGGGGACUAGGGGAGACAGGGAGACAGAAAGCGAGAGGGUAGGGGGAGAGAAAGGCAGAGAGAGAGAAAGAAAGGGUAGAGGGAGAGAAAGGCAGAGAGGGAAAGAGGGUAGAGAGACAGAAAGAGAGUGGGUAGAGAGAGAGAGAGGGAGGGAAGCAUUAGGGUAGAAAGAAGGCGAUGGAGUGGAAGAGAGAGAAGGAGAGAGGAAAUGAUAGGGUAGAGAGAGGGAGAGGUAGAGAAAUCCCAUCAUGGCCUCUCAAAUCUCGCUGGGCUGAAGACCAUUAAAAUAAUCUAUAGUUCUGCUCUCCAGAGAAUGGACAACAGGGAACACCACCCCCCUACAUGCACACUCUUUCUCUCUCUCCCUCUCUCUCUCUCUCACGCACACACACACUCGCACGCACACACACACACACACACACACUCACUCACACACACUCUGCCUCACACAGACACACACACACACACACACACUUCGUCCUGGAGGCUUGUUGGAUGACUCUGGCCGGCUGCAGAUGAAUGAGGCGUCUGCAGUAGCGCUGAGAGGAGUCGGCCGUGCUCCGCGCUCGGCGGCAGAUGCUGAUUCGCUGCCCCCCCCCCCCCAUCUCCACCCCAGCUGGAGCUCAUCGCGGUGACUCAUUACUGCUGGGCCGGGGGGCGCUACCAGCUCCUCAUUGACCUAAAACACACUCGUUUUGGAAAGCGUCUGAAAGGCUCGUUCGUCAGGCCACAAUUGGCGACGAUGCUUUGGGGGCCGGCGCAGCGUGGCCCAGUCUGGGGCGGGGGCCCCGUCGCUGACUCUGCCGUUUCUGUAUCUGUUACCCCCCCCCCCCCCCCAGCAUGAGCCCGGGGACCUCCACAUGUCCCUGAAGGGCCGCUGGGUAAUCCAUGUCUAUACAUGAGAAAAAUUAGCAUAUUGAAAUAUGUAAUCGCUUUUUUCCCCUCUCUCUCCCUCUCCCCUCCCCUCCGUGGGGCCUGUCCUCUGAAUGACAUAACCGGGCGAAAUGAGCUCACGGAACCCGGGUCCCGGUGCCAAAAUGAAGCCGUCCAAAACACGCCGCCGCGAUAAACGCGCCCUUCACAACGCCGCGGGGGCUUGUGGGUAACGGACGGCUCCGCUAGCGCGCAGGAGCCGCCGUUAUCUCCGACGUCCGUUAAUUCAGCCGACCCUAACGAGGGCCCGGCACGCUGCCAGCGCUUCCGGCUUCCGAAAGAUCGCGCAAUAUUUCCCCCUAAUGCGCAUCGAUCUGGGCCUGACGGGGACGUGCCGACUCAGUCUGGACCCAGGGCUCGGCCCGAACCCCAGUGGUGCCCCCCUCCGUCACACGUCCCGGUCGGUACCCACAAUGCCUCUGUUUUAAAUCUCUUAUUCUGCUCACGGCUCGUCGUCUGUUCCAGCCCAAGCUCCAGACAUGCUUCUGCGGUAGGACGGUGGAAUCCAUAGACUUAAAUUUAUCAGUCCAGUGCACAAGUGCAUUUUCUGAUUUUUUGUCCUUGAAGACUGUCAGGAGAGAUGUCAAUGAACCACACACGCUCUCGCACACGCGCACAUAUGAACGUGCAUGCGCGCACACACACACACACACACACAGACACACACACACACACACACACACACACACACACACACACACACACGCUCUCACACAAGCGCACACAUGAACGUGCAUGCGCACACACAUACACGCGCACACACACACACACAAACUCUCUCUUGCCCCCUCUCUCUCGUUCUUUUUCUCUCUCUUUUCUUUGUUUUGUACCAUUUUGCCAUCCAGUCCUGUCUCAGGGCUUCUGUCUGACACAGUGCAUUUAUCUGGUCAGUCACAUUGUAAUUGCAGAACUGACAUAAAAAGGGCAGCAUUGAAGAAUUCUGUUUGCAGACUUUCCGUGUGCUGUACAGAUUCACACUCGUCUCUGUUCCCGCUGAGCCGCUGUGUCAUACAAAAGGAACAUUUCUCAGCGCUUAAUUGGAUGAUAAAAACACACACGUACUUGCACACACACACACACACACACAUGCGUACACGCAUGCCUGCACUCACAGGCAACCACGCACGCACUCACGCACACACACGCAUACACGCACACAUGCAUAUGCAUGCAUGCACGCACACACAUACACAUAGACAAAGAUAAACAUAAAAACAAACA